UUGCUCACCUCUAAAAUCUCAUCGUCUCUCGUUCUCACCCAAGUUCAUCCCAGAAGGAGCACAAGCUUUCCGUCUCAACCGUCACCAUGAGGGCCAAGUGGAAGAAGAAGAGAAUGAGGAGGUUGAAGAGGAAGCGCCGAAAGAUGAGGCAGAGAUCUAAGUGAUUGCAGCAGCAGCAGCACCUGUUUCACAUGGCGUUUCUGAGCCUAGGCUUUUGAGUUUUAUCGGACUUAGUUGUUUGUUAGGGUUAAAAGCGACUCUCAUUUGGUACUUUUAUUUCAAGCUUUCUGUUACAUCUUCUACAUUUUUAAUUGAAAAUUCGACUUUUAUGAGUAAAUUUUGUUUCGUUCUGUGGAUGGAUCGACAUAGUUUGAUGAAUGAAUGUAUCAAUUUAUCUGUUGCUGCCAUUUGAAUGCAUUCUGUAGCUGGAAUGCUGUGUUGCUGUGAUACUGAUUGUAUUUUGGUCUUGAACUCUUGAUGGAUAUCGGCCUUGGUCAGCAUCACAGGAUAGUGGGGUUAGGGUUCUGCUUUAUUAAUGGUCUUGUUGAUUUGGAAAUGUUUGGGCCAUAUAAAUUUAACGUGUUGAUUUCAUUAUGGUGAUCG
RNAcentral lists this long non-coding RNA (603 nucleotides) under Rosa chinensis. RNAcentral's name for it is "sRNA RchiOBHm_Chr5g0070391". The record is from RNAcentral. Lineage: Eukaryota; Viridiplantae; Streptophyta; Magnoliopsida; Rosales; Rosaceae.